Long non-coding RNA from Aquila chrysaetos chrysaetos, 475 nucleotides. RefSeq lists it as uncharacterized. The record is from RefSeq and is a predicted model, not a curated record. The transcript is spliced from 3 exons. NCBI's taxonomy places the organism in Eukaryota, Metazoa, Chordata, Aves, Accipitriformes, Accipitridae.
GCCCUCCCUCGGGCCUCGGCCCCGGGGCAGCCCGGCUCGCCGGGCCCGAAAGGUGCCAUCCCCACGGGGUUAGGCCUGUUGCCGAACUUGGCCAGGACGGCCGAAGAUAAAGCAUUUCUUCCGCACACCACCGAGGUGGUCCAUACAGUGGUAAAUUUAUUGUACUAUUUCAACUUAAACCCAACAUGCGAAUGGAGCACCGCAGAUCUGAAGAUGUGUUUUGGAAAGCAAUGUCACUAGUUAACAUUAAGGUGGUAGAAUUGCUUGAAAAGGCUCCCUGCCACCUGUGUUCAGCUGUACUAAGUUGGCUAUGAAGAAGGGGCACGGAGACAAUUAAGGAUAGACUUGCUUCCAUUGAAGGAAGGACUGACUGAGUCAUGAUUCUUCUGCCUGGAGGUAAGAUGGAUGAGGGAUUGUUAUGGCAAAAGUCUGUAGGAUCCUAAGUGAGCAUGGUGAGCUUGAGCAGGGCAUGAUU